Molecule: transfer RNA, 68 nt
Filed under: Thitarodes damxungensis
Lineage: Eukaryota; Metazoa; Arthropoda; Insecta; Lepidoptera; Hepialidae
Description: tRNA-His
Source: RNAcentral
AAUUUAAAUAAUUUAAUUUAAAAAUAUUGAUUUGUGGGAUCAAAUAUAUGAUUUGUUCAUUUUAAGUA